RNAcentral lists this ribosomal RNA (301 nucleotides) under uncultured bacterium. RNAcentral describes it as "partial 16S ribosomal RNA". It matches the Rfam family "Bacterial small subunit ribosomal RNA", at positions 509 to 809 of the family's 1533-position model. The record is from RNAcentral.
CAGCAGCCGCGGUAAUACGUAGGGUGCAAGCGUUGUCCGGAAUUAUUGGGCGUAAAGAGCUCGUAGGCGGUUUGUCGCGUCUGCUGUGAAAACGCGAGGCUCAACCUCGCGCCUGCAGUGGGUACGGGCAGACUAGAGUGUGGUAGGGGAGAUUGGAAUUCCUGGUGUAGCGGUGGAAUGCGCAGAUAUCAGGAGGAACACCGAUGGCGAAGGCAGAUCUCUGGGCCAUUACUGACGCUGAGGAGCGAAAGCGUGGGGAGCGAACAGGAUUAGAUACCCGAGUAGUCCCUGUCUCUUAUAA